UUAAAGUUAUAUAGAGGUAGAGCUACUGAUUGGAUGCGGGGGCUUCACCGCCUACCAAUUCCUGACAAACUCCGAAUGCUAUAUAAUGUUUCGUAACAGUGAGGGCUUGGGUGCUAAGGUCCAAGUCCGAGAGGGAAAGAACCCAGACCAUCAGCUAAGGUCCCCAAAUAUAUACUAAGUUGAAAGAACGAGGUUUGUCUGCAUAGACAGCUAGGAUGUUGGCUUGGAAGCAGCCAUUCAUUUAAAGAGUGCGUAACAGCUCACUAGUCGAGCGGACGAGCAUGGAUAAUAAUCGGGCAUAAGUAUAUUACCGAAGCUAUGGAUUUACAAUUUAUUGUAAGUGGUAGGGGAGCAUUCUCACAGGGUAGAAGGUGUAUCGUAAGGUAUGCUGGACCGGUGAGAAAAGAAAAUGUAGGCAUAAGUAACGAUAAUGCGGGCGAGAAACCCGCACACCGAAAGACUAAGGUUUCCACAGCUAUGCUAAUCAGCUGUGGGUUAGUCGGGACCUAAGGCGAACCCGAAAGGGACAGUCGAUGGACAACGGGUUAAUAUUCCCGUACUACUGUUAACUGUGAUGGGGUGACGGAGUGAUGAAAGUGCCGCGAACUGACGGAAUAGUUCGUUGAAGUACCUACCUAUAAGCUGCGCAGGCAAAUCCACGCGGCUUGGGGAAAUACGAUAGUACUCGGAGUCUUCGGACGAAGAGAUAGUGCACCUAAGGGCUUCCAAGAAAAACCUCUAAACUUCAGGUUAAUAGUACCCGUACCGCAAACCGACACAGGUAGUCGAGAUGAGAAUUCUAAGGUGCUCGAGAGAUUCAUGGCUAAGGAAUUAGGCAAAAUAGACCCGUAACUUCGGGAGAAGGGUCGCCAGCAGCAAUGCUGGCCGCAGUGAAGAGGUCCAGGCGACUGUUUAUCAAAAACACAGGGCUCUGCAAAAUCGUAAGAUGAAGUAUAGGGCCUGACACCUGCCCGGUGCUGGAAGGUUAAGUGGAGAUGUUAUCUUCGGAGAAGCAUUGAAAUGAAGCCCCAGUAAACGGCGGCCGUAACUAUAACGGUCCUAAGGUAGCGAAAUUCCUUGUCGGGUAAGUUCCGACCUGCACGAAUGGUGUAACGAUCUGGACACUGUCUCAGCCAUGAGCUCGGUGAAAUUGUAGUAGCGGUGAAGAUGCCGCUUACCCGCAGUGGGACGAAAAGACCCUGUGCACCUUUACUAUAGCUUAGUAUUGACUUUGGACAAAUGAUGUGUAGGAUAGGUUGGAGACUGUGAAGUGGCGUCGCUAGGCGUUGUGGAGUCAUUGUUGAAAUACAACCCUUUGUUUGUCUGAAGCCUAACCCCGC
This 1340-nucleotide ribosomal RNA is filed under the name Flavobacterium gelidicaeli. RNAcentral describes it as "partial 23S ribosomal RNA". It matches the Rfam family "Bacterial large subunit ribosomal RNA", at positions 887 to 2231 of the family's 2925-position model. The record is from RNAcentral. Lineage: Bacteria; Pseudomonadati; Bacteroidota; Flavobacteriia; Flavobacteriales; Flavobacteriaceae.